GAAAUGCGAUAAGUAAUGUGAAUUGCAGAAUUCAGUGAAUCAUCGAAUCUUUGAACGCACCUUGCGCUCCUUGGUAUUCCUUGGAGCAUGCCUGUUUGAGUAUCAUGAAAUCUUCAAAGUAAAUCUUUUGUUAACUCAAUUGGUUUCUACUUUGGUAUUGGAGGUCUUUGCAGCUUCACACCUGCUCCUCUUUGUUCAUUAGCUGGAUCUCAGUGUUAUGCUUGGUUCCACUCGGCGUGAUAAGUUAUCUAUCGCUAAGGACACUGUAAAAGGUGGCCAAGGUAAAUGCAGAUGAACCGCUUCUAAUAGUCCAUUGACUUGGACAAUACUUUUAUGAUCUGAUCUCAAAUCAGGUAGGACUACCCGCUGAACUUAAGC
This 378-nucleotide unclassified non-coding RNA is filed under the name plant metagenome. Its description in RNAcentral is "partial contains 5.8S ribosomal RNA, internal transcribed spacer 2, and large subunit ribosomal RNA". The stretch from base 1 to 105 matches the Rfam family "5.8S ribosomal RNA", at positions 50 to 154 of the family's 154-position model. The record is from RNAcentral.